UCUCCGUUGGUGAACCAGCGGAGGGAUCAUUACUGGAAUCGCAAGACUCCCAACCCCUGUGAACGUACCGAAACGUUGCCUCGGCGGGCCUCGCGCCCGCCGGCGGCCCCCUACUCUGUCUCUGCAGCGUGGCAUCUCGAGAUAAACACAAAUGAAUCAAAACUUUCAACAACGGAUCUCUUGGUUCUGGCAUCGAUGAAGAACGCAGC
This 209-nucleotide unclassified non-coding RNA is filed under the name uncultured fungus. RNAcentral's name for it is "sequence contains ITS1, 5.8S rRNA gene". The stretch from base 161 to 209 matches the Rfam family "5.8S ribosomal RNA", at positions 1 to 49 of the family's 154-position model. The record is from RNAcentral. Lineage: Eukaryota; Fungi.